AGGAAGGUAGUGUAGUUAACACCUGCAUUAUUUGACGUUACCUACAGAAGAAGCACCGGCUAACUCCGUGCCAGCAGCCGCGGUAAUACGGAGGGUGCGAGCGUUAAUCGGAAUUACUGGGCGUAAAGCGCAUGCAGGCGGCCUGUUAAGUCAGAUGUGAAAGCCCCGGGGCUUAACCUCGGAAUUGCAUUUGAAACUGGCAGGCUAGAGUCUUGUAGAGGGGGUAGAAUUUCAGGUGUAGCGGUGAAAUGCGUAGAGAUCUGAAGGAAUACCAGUGGCGAAGGCGGCCCCCUGGACAAAGACUGACGCUCAGAUGCGAAAGCGUGGGGAGCAAACAGGAUUAGAUACCCUGGUAG
RNAcentral lists this ribosomal RNA (356 nucleotides) under uncultured bacterium. RNAcentral's name for it is "bacterial SSU rRNA". It matches the Rfam family "Bacterial small subunit ribosomal RNA", at positions 441 to 793 of the family's 1533-position model. The record is from RNAcentral.